UACGUGUGGACCAAGCGUUGUUCGGAAUUACUGGGCUUAAAGGGAGCGUAGGUGGCCCGAUAAGUCAGGGGUGAAAGCCGGCGGCCCAACCGUCGAAUUGCCUCUGAUACUGCUGGGCUCGAGUGUGCGAGGGGGAAACGGAACGUGUGGUGUAGCGGUGAAAUGCGUAGAUAUCACACGGAAGGCCGGAGCCGAAGGGGGCUUCCUGGUGCACAACUGACACUGAGGCUCGAAAGCGUGGGGAGCAAACAGG
Molecule: unclassified non-coding RNA, 253 nt
Filed under: uncultured Planctomycetota bacterium
Lineage: Bacteria; Pseudomonadati; Planctomycetota
Description: uncultured planctomycete contains 16S-23S intergenic spacer region
Rfam family: Bacterial small subunit ribosomal RNA
Source: RNAcentral